Molecule: ribosomal RNA, 414 nt
Filed under: uncultured microorganism
Description: bacterial SSU rRNA
Rfam family: Archaeal small subunit ribosomal RNA
Source: RNAcentral
CAGCCGCCGCGGUAAUACCGGCGGCCCGAGUGGCGGUCACUAUUAUUGGGCUUAAAGCGUCCGUAGCCGGGGUGGGAAGUCCUCCGGGAAAUCUGGCCGCUUAACGGUCAGAAUGCCGGAGGAUACUCCCAGCCUAGGGAGCGGGAGAGGCCGAGGGGAUUCCCGGGGUAGGGGUGAAAUCCUAUAAUCCCGGGAGGACCACCUGUGGGGAAGGCGCUCGGCUGGAACGCGUCCGACGGUGAGGGACGAAGGCCAGGGGAGCAAACCGGAUUAGAUACCCGGGUAGUCCUGGCUGUAAACGAUGCGGACUUUGUGUCGGACAAGCUAUGAGCUUGUCCGGUGCCGGAGGGAAACCGUUAAGUCCGCCGCCUGGGGAGUACGGCCGCAAGGCUGAAACUUAAAGGAAUUGGCGGG